This is a non-coding RNA of Saimiri boliviensis boliviensis (Bolivian squirrel monkey), 383 nucleotides long. NCBI's taxonomy places the organism in Eukaryota, Metazoa, Chordata, Mammalia, Primates, Cebidae. The record is from RefSeq and is a predicted model, not a curated record.
UACAAGAAAUGCAAUCAGGGGGAGCAGAAUGACACAGAGGAGUCUGGAAGCUCAUGAUUUCAUUAAGCAACUUUCCCAUACUGUGAGGAGAUGGAGGGCAAGCAUUAACUGUUGGAAGGAUUUCUUUUAAGGAUGCAUUAUAUCAAGAGCUAGAUAUCAGAGCCAGUUGGGAGAAAUAGGAAACGGGUGUAGAAACAGUCCCAGACUUGCAUGAGCCCUGGAGAAAAGGUCUGGCUUCUGGGUUGCUGUGUCACACACAGUCUGCUUGCAGGAUGACAGAGGAAGAAUGAGUCAUGAUCUCUGCAAGUGCCCAUCAAGAACUGCCUGACAGGUCUGGGAAGCAUUCACCCUAAGACCUUUCAUGUCCUUAUUAAAAUUGGAUG